UGCGCAUUAUCUAUACAAGCUGGGAAACUAGCGUGUUUUAGCGUAAUCUGAGAUUUAGUUUUUUAGCGUUCCAAAGAUGCCCGACAGUGGACUGACUUGCUAGAGAGACUUUUGAUUACAAUCGCCACAGGUUGUCCGGCAAGAACAAGAAUGCAAAUGUCCAAAAUGAUAGUUUAUUUACACGCAAUGAUCCAUGCCACUCAUGAAGCAAUGCUAACUUGAAGAUGGAGGUGACUACUCAAUAUAAAAGAGAAGAGGAGUUGGGCAGUCAAAAGAAACAAGGAGACACAUGGCAACCCUGACAAACUCCUA
This is a long non-coding RNA of Xyrauchen texanus (razorback sucker), 312 nucleotides long. RefSeq lists it as uncharacterized. The record is from RefSeq and is a predicted model, not a curated record. The transcript has 3 exons. Lineage: Eukaryota; Metazoa; Chordata; Actinopteri; Cypriniformes; Catostomidae.